GCGGAGGGAUCAUUACUGAGUUUACGCUCUAUAACCCUUUGUGAACAUACCUAUAACUGUUGCUUCGGCGGGCAGGGUCUCCGUGACCCUCCCGGCCUCCCGCCCCCGGGCGGGUCGGCGCCCGCCGGAGGAUAACCAAACUCUGAUUUAACGACGUUUCUUCUGAGUGGUACAAGCAAAUAAUCAAAACUUUUAACAACGGAUCUCUUGGUUCUGGCAUCGAUGAAGAACGCAGCGAAAUGCGAUAAGUAAUGUGAAUUGCAGAAUUCAGUGAAUCAUCGAAUCUUUGAACGCACAUUGCGCCCGCCAGCAUUCUGGCGGGCAUGCCUGUUCGAGCGUCAUUUCAACCCUCAAGCUCUGCUUGGUGUUGGGGCCCUACAGCUGAUGUAGGCCCUCAAAGGUAGUGGCGGACCCUCCCGGAGCCUCCUUUGCGUAGUAACUUUACGUCUCGCACUGGGAUCCGGAGGGACUCUUGCCGUAAAACCCCCCAAUUUUCCAAAGGUUGACCUCGGAUCAGGUAGGAAUACCCGCUGAACUUAAGCAUAUCAAUAAGCGGAGGAAAAGAAACCAACAGGGAUUGCCUCAGUAACGG
RNAcentral lists this ribosomal RNA (592 nucleotides) under fungal endophyte. RNAcentral describes it as "eukaryotic LSU rRNA". The stretch from base 188 to 341 matches the Rfam family "5.8S ribosomal RNA". The record is from RNAcentral. Lineage: Eukaryota; Fungi.